RNAcentral lists this microRNA (21 nucleotides) under Pteropus alecto (black flying fox). Its description in RNAcentral is "pal-miR-296-5p". Its record names the gene pal-miR-296-5p. Lineage: Eukaryota; Metazoa; Chordata; Mammalia; Chiroptera; Pteropodidae. The record is from miRBase by way of RNAcentral.
GAGGGCCUCCCUCAACCCUGU